UGUGGGAGCUGGCUUGCCUGCGAUAGCGGUUUAUCAGUUACAGCAUCAUUGACUGAAACUGCGCCAUCGCAGGCAAGCCAGCUCCCACA
This 89-nucleotide non-coding RNA is filed under the name Pseudomonas sp. bs2935. The record is from RNAcentral. Lineage: Bacteria; Pseudomonadati; Pseudomonadota; Gammaproteobacteria; Pseudomonadales; Pseudomonadaceae.